GUCAAGUAAGAAUACCCGCUGAACUUAAGCAUAUCAAUAAGCGGAGGAAAAGAAACUAACUAGGAUUCCCUUAGUAACGGCGAGUGAACUGGGAAGAGCUCAAAUUUUAAAUCACUUUGGUGAAUUGUAAUUUGAAGAAAGUGUUUUGACUUUUCAGUUUAAUCUAAAUCCUUUGGGAUGAGGUAUCAUAGAGGGUGAGAAUCCCGUUCGUGAUUAAACCUCGGAUUGCACUAAUUCACUUUCUAAGAGUCGAGUUGUUUGGGAUUGCAGCUCUAAAUGGGUGGUAAAUUUCACCUAAGGCUAAAUAUAUGCAAGAGACCGAUAGCGAACAAGUACCGUGAGGGAAGGAUGAAAAGAACUUUGAAAAGAGAGUUAAACAGUACGUGAAAUUGUUGAAAGGGAAACGAUUGAAGUCAGUCAUACUAGUGAGGAAUCAACUUGGUGGUUUACUUCCUUGUGUAUUUUCUUACUUGGCAGGUUAGCAUCAAUUUUGGUUGUCAUCAAAUAAUUGGGGGAAUGUGGCUUUUCUUCGGGAAAGUGUUAUAGACCUUGAUAGAUGUGGCGACUGAGAUUGAGGUUUGCAGCGGAUGCCUUUGGCUAGUCAUCUGUCUUCUGACCGUCACCUCGCUUUUGACAGCUUGCUGAUGAUUGCGGGAUUUGGUGGCCUAGAAGUUAGAAUGUACAUAAAUUCGCUAAGGAUGCUGACGUAAUGGCUUUAAACGACCCGUCUUGAAACACGGACCAAGGGGUCUAACAUAUGUGCGAGUGUU
Molecule: ribosomal RNA, 770 nt
Filed under: uncultured Acaulosporaceae
Lineage: Eukaryota; Fungi; Glomeromycota; Glomeromycetes; Diversisporales; Acaulosporaceae
Description: eukaryotic LSU rRNA
Rfam family: Eukaryotic large subunit ribosomal RNA
Source: RNAcentral